UGACCCUGGUGAUUUGAGUCGCGCCUUCC
This 29-nucleotide non-coding RNA is filed under the name Mus musculus (house mouse). Lineage: Eukaryota; Metazoa; Chordata; Mammalia; Rodentia; Muridae. The record is from RNAcentral.